This 107-nucleotide ribosomal RNA is filed under the name Prevotella lacticifex. The record is from RNAcentral. Lineage: Bacteria; Pseudomonadati; Bacteroidota; Bacteroidia; Bacteroidales; Prevotellaceae.
UGGUGGUUAUUGUGGCGGUGUCACACCUCUUCCCAUUCCGAACAGAGAAGUUAAGCCCGCUUACGCCGAUGGUACUGCAAUGAAAUGUGGGAGAGUAGGAAGCCGCC